UGGGGUAUCGCCAAGCUGGUAAGGCACCGGUUUUUGAUACCGGCAUUCCCGUGGUUCGAAUCCAGGUACCCCCAGCCA
Molecule: transfer RNA, 78 nt
Filed under: Klebsiella pneumoniae
Lineage: Bacteria; Pseudomonadati; Pseudomonadota; Gammaproteobacteria; Enterobacterales; Enterobacteriaceae
Description: tRNA-Gln
Rfam family: tRNA
About the family: Transfer RNA (tRNA) molecules are approximately 80 nucleotides in length. Their secondary structure includes four short double-helical elements and three loops (D, anti-codon, and T loops).
Source: RNAcentral